CGCCAUUUUGCCCAGGCUGGUCUCAAACUCCUGACCUCAAGUGAUCCACCAGCCUCGGCCUCUGGGAUUAAAGGCAUGAGCCACCGCGCCCUGCCCAUACUUCACUUUCUGAUCCUCCUCCACACAUAGGUCAUGUGUCCACUUGGAAACGAUCAAACACUAGUCAUGUCCCAAAGGAUGGGUUAUCAAAUCCUCAGACCAAACUAAUAGGUCCCUAAAUCUGCAGGUCACUCCCCGUUCCUCAAUUUCAUUUCUCUUUAUCCCGGUAAACACAUCUUCUGCUUUAGCCAAACACACUGCUUGCACAUACCACCUCAUUCGCUAGUUGUAUCAUCUCCCCCUUUUCCACCAAUAAUUCCCUUCACAACCCUGCUCAAAAUACACUUUCCCCAAGGAAGCACUUCUUGAUUACUGUUGCUGGAUAUGAACUCUUUUUUGUUAUUGUUUUCUCAUUAGUCUAUGUUACAGAGGCCUGCAGAGUUGUAUUUUCUUUCUCUCCCAUUCAUGGCCUCCCCCAACUUCCAACAGGCCUGUCUCAGGGCAUGCAGGGUAGGAAGGGAGCUGCAGACUGAUGCUGCUAACCAUCUCCCAGGCCUCCUGGGCCAAACCGCACCCGAAUCAACCCAGACCCCGCCUCACCCGUCAGUUCCCCAGUCAGCUGUCUCCACGGCGGCAUCGUCUGGGCCAAGGGAGAAUGACUAAGUGUCCCGCCUACACCCGGUGCUAAUCCAGCCAAAGCAGCCUGUUCCGACAUCCCUCCACUUGCCUUCAUUCCAUCAAGUCGGCUCCAUUCUCCAUCUGCCAUAAUUUCAAGUCCUUCACUGCGUCCCUGCCCAUCUGACACAUCAACUCGCCUCCCUCGCACCGCCCCUCGCCCAUACCCGGCACCCCCGCUCAUCCUGGCACCAUCCCAGUCACCCUGACAGGACAAACACUCGCGCGCAGCGACAAGUGCACUCCUCUCACCAGCCCGUUCCUGCCAGGUGAGCCACCACACACUCAACCUCGCCCACCCGAGACGGAGCCCCAGGCCCCCCACCGGACGCUUCCUCCCCAUCCAUUCCGGGUACCUCGGGCGGGCUCAUCACUCCGGGUCGCCAGUACGCCCUCGGCUGCCGCCGCCAUAGCGGACCCCGCGCUGUUUCCGGGCCGGGGUGCUGCGCAUGCGCACUGGGUGUGCCCCGCCCACCCGGCCGGCCCUGCAGUCCUGCGCCUAGCGGUCCAGUCCAGCCUCAGGUCUAUGACACAGCAAAGGGCGAUUCCGGAGCCGAAAUUGAAGCUACGCCAGGCUGUUGUGAAUUGAUCCACUGCCAACAGUCGCGACGUCUGGGACUGAGGGCGAGCUCAUCCCUACAGUCACACCCUGGAGGGAUCACUCAUCUUGUACCACUCACGACCCGUCUGGGAAUAGUCAACCCUGUUUGUGGCCUGCUGACCAAAACCACUGAAGACGGAUUGCCCGCUCUCCUGACACUCCGCACUGGAGUUAGUCAUCAAAAGAUUGCUCAGGGAAUCCAAAGUUUUACAGGUUGUCUCGUCCACACUUUGGGAAACCUUCAGGCAUUGAUCCCUGGUCCUAAAUACUGUCCCUCCCAAUGUCCUGAGUUAACACCAACUCACUGGCCCCUAUUUCUUAAACUGCAGGCAGGCAUCUACUUCUCUUCAGUUGAUACAGCCUUCCUUGAAGAAAGCUUAGACUGUAACUUUUUUAGGGCUGAGGAUACACUCUGGUUAUCUUAAUUGCAUUUAAGCUGUUUCACAAGCCUCCUAGGUGUACAGAGUACUUAAUGGGAUGGGAGAACAGGAGUGAGUGAAAGAGAUGGAUGAGAAGAAGUGACUGGGGAGCAAUUGAAGGUGCAAAAUGAGGAGGGAUAAAGGCCACAGAAGAAGGGAUAGGAGAUAUUCAGCAGGCCUCAGGCAGGCUCCUGGACACCCAAAAUCUUGGUAGUUUCUUUUCUUAUCCCUGGUUAUCCUCCCUCUGCACCCUCUCACCCCACCCCGAUGCCAGUACAUACACACACACGCCAGCUACCCCUUAUCCCCAGCCCUCCUACCCUGACUGUCUCCACCCUGAGGACUGAGUCUCACUUGUCACCUGUCCCCACUUUUCCUAUGGUGCAACCAUAGUAGCCACUAUUUCAAGCCAUUCCUGCGAGCCAGAAGUUCUUUUUUUUGAAACAGAGUCUCGCUCUGUCACCCAGGCUGGAGUACAGUAACGUGAUCUCGGCUCAGCUCACUGCAACCUCCACCUCCCGAGUUCAAACGAUUCUCAUGCCUCAGCCUCCCAAGUAGCUGGGAUAACAGGCACGCGCCACCACACCUGGCUAAUUUGUUUGUAUUUUUAUUAAAGACAGGAUUUCAGCAUUUUGCCCAGGCUUGUCUGGAACUUCUGGCCUCAAGUGAUCCACCCAACAUAGCCUCCCAAAGUGCUGGGAUUACAAGCGUGAGUCACUGUGCUAGGCCUAGAAGUUCUUAUAGCCCAGCUCCUUCACAUCACUGCACCUACUCUAUACCUCCUAGAGAGCAUGAACCUAUUCCAGCCCAGGCACAUGGAUGACCCACAAUUUCAGCCUUUCUUCCCUCUAUAAUACCAGAAGCAAAUGCAAAGUCCAAGUUUUCCUAAGGAGUUUUAUUGAUAGCCACCAUGGAAACCCACAUGGUCUUAUGGAAGAAUAAUGUCAGAACCCAC
Molecule: long non-coding RNA, 2689 nt
Filed under: Homo sapiens (human)
Lineage: Eukaryota; Metazoa; Chordata; Mammalia; Primates; Hominidae
Description: HSALNT0167038
Source: RNAcentral